AGUGAACGCUGGCGGUAGGCCUAACACAUGCAAGUCGAACGGCAGCACAGUAAGAGCUUGCUCUUACGGGUGGCGAGUGGCGGACGGGUGAGGAAUAUAUCGGAAUCUACUUUUUCGUGGGGGAUAACGUAGGUAAACUUACGCUAAUACCGCAUACGACCUACGGGUGAAAGCAGGGGAUCUUCUGAGCUUGCGCGAUUGAAUGAGCCGAUGUCGGAUUAGCUAGUUGGCGGGGUAAAGGCCCACCAAGGCGACGAUCCGUAGCUGGUCUGAGAGGAUGAUCGGCGACACUGGAACUGAGACACGGUCCAGACUACUACGGGAGGCAGCAGUGGGGAAUAUUGGACAAUGGGCGCAAGCCUGAUCCAGCCAUACCGCGUGGGUGAAGAAGGCCUUCGGGUUGUAAAGCCCUUUUGUUGGGAAAGAAAAGCAGCAGGUUAAUACCCCGCUGUCCUGACGGUACCCAAAGAGUAAGCACCGGCUAACUUCGUG
This 492-nucleotide ribosomal RNA is filed under the name uncultured bacterium. RNAcentral describes it as "partial 16S ribosomal RNA". It matches the Rfam family "Bacterial small subunit ribosomal RNA", at positions 29 to 507 of the family's 1533-position model. The record is from RNAcentral.